CAGCUCCUUCCUUCACCUGUUUCUCUAUGAACCUGCGGUAGGCCUCGGGGUCAUUUUGAGAGAAAUCAUCCAGGAUGGACCAGAACUGGUUGACUUGCUGUAAAACAUCCCCUGUACUGCCAGAGGAGGACAUCUCCAGAUCCAACCCAAGAAUUCAGCCACUUUGGUGUAAACUCCUGGAUGGUUGGCCUCAGCACAACCUGUCCCCCAGCUGACGACACCCACCAGCCUCCACACAUUUUCAUCCUGGCAAACCAGAGGACCUCCACUGUCUCCCUGAAGAGGGGUUUAAGGGGCUGACCAUGUAACCACGUCGUCUCUCCAGCACCAGUCCAGCUCGACAGAAUCUAAACUGAGAGGCUGGUGAAUAAAGGAGGAAUGAAUGGAAAAACAACAGAGCAGGUCGUGAAGCAGAAGUUAUCCAUCAUCGAGCUGAAGCGUCCAGCCUGGUCCCCGCUGAGAGGCUCCUCUCUACUGAUGCAAAGGAAUGCAUAUCAAAUAGCCUGCGAGACAGCCUGUUGUGUGAGGCACGCUUCUGCACAAAUAAUCAAACAGAAUUUAGAAAAUAAAGCUUUGCAAAUAACAGCGACACCAGGGCCUCUUUAUAUCAAAUCCCUCACAAGGACCCGAUUCAAAACUUCCCGAGACGUCUCACUGUUAAAACAUAAGAGCAGGUGUCCCUGAGAAUAGAUUAACAUAUUUGCUGUUGCUCCUUCCAGCUUUUAACUCUCAUGGUAUUUUAAAAUGAUGGGGGUUGGAGGGGGGGGGGAAUCCUGCAGACCAAGAAGCAGUUCAAUUCAAGAGACACGUGUCCAGUGCUUUUCCUAACCACAUAAUCAACUACUUAGCUCACAUUCAUCAUACCGCACAAGCCGACAUGCACCUGCACAUG
Molecule: long non-coding RNA, 892 nt
Organism: Sebastes umbrosus (honeycomb rockfish)
Lineage: Eukaryota; Metazoa; Chordata; Actinopteri; Perciformes; Sebastidae
Exons: 4
Source: RefSeq, a predicted model, not a curated record